This 253-nucleotide ribosomal RNA is filed under the name uncultured bacterium. RNAcentral's name for it is "partial 16S ribosomal RNA". It matches the Rfam family "Bacterial small subunit ribosomal RNA", at positions 524 to 776 of the family's 1533-position model. The record is from RNAcentral.
UACGUAGGGUGCAAGCGUUAAUCGGAAUUACUGGGCGUAAAGCGUGCGCAGGCGGUUUUGUAAGCCAGAUGUGAAAGCCCCGGGCUCAACCUGGGAAUGGCAUUUGGGACUGCAAGGCUGGAGUAUGGCAGAGGAGACUAGAAUUCCUGGUGUAGCAGUGAAAUGCGUAGAUAUCAGGAGGAAUACCGAUGGCGAAGGCAGGUCUCUGGGCCAAUACUGACGCUCAUGCACGAAAGCGUGGGGAGCAAACAGG